GCUUCCUUAGCUUAGAUGGUUAAAGCUAUCGGCUCAUAACCGAUUGACCACAGGUUCGAAUCCUGUAGGAAGCACCA
RNAcentral lists this transfer RNA (77 nucleotides) under Phocaeicola vulgatus. RNAcentral describes it as "Bacteroides vulgatus tRNA-Ile". It matches the Rfam family "tRNA". Rfam says of the family: Transfer RNA (tRNA) molecules are approximately 80 nucleotides in length. Lineage: Bacteria; Pseudomonadati; Bacteroidota; Bacteroidia; Bacteroidales; Bacteroidaceae. RNAcentral also lists the same sequence under 1 other name. The record is from RNAcentral.